UUAAAUUGAAGAGUUUGAUCAUGGCUCAGAUUGAACGCUGGCGGCAGGCCUAACACAUGCAAGUCGAACGGUAGCACAGAGAGCUUGC
Molecule: ribosomal RNA, 88 nt
Filed under: Citrobacter freundii
Lineage: Bacteria; Pseudomonadati; Pseudomonadota; Gammaproteobacteria; Enterobacterales; Enterobacteriaceae
Also listed under: 17 other names
Description: partial 16S ribosomal RNA
Rfam family: Bacterial small subunit ribosomal RNA
Source: RNAcentral